This 422-nucleotide ribosomal RNA is filed under the name uncultured Glomeraceae. RNAcentral describes it as "SSU rRNA". It matches the Rfam family "Eukaryotic small subunit ribosomal RNA", at positions 459 to 886 of the family's 1831-position model. Lineage: Eukaryota; Fungi; Glomeromycota; Glomeromycetes; Glomerales; Glomeraceae. The record is from RNAcentral.
GGGAGGUAGUGACAAUAAAUAACAAUACGGGGUCCUUUCGGGUUUCGUAAUUGGAAUGAGUACAAUUUAAAUCUCUUAACGAGGAACAAUUGGAGGGCAAGUCUGGUGCCAGCAGCCGCGGUAAUUCCAGCUCCAAUAGCGUAUAUUAAAGUUGUUGCAGUUAAAAAGCUCGUAGUUGAAUUUCGGGAUUAGUACGUUGGUCGUGCUUUCGGGUACGUACUGGUGUUACUGAUUCCUCCCUUCUGACGAACUAUCAUGCCAUUUACUUGGUGUGGUGGGAAAUCAGAACUGUUACUUUGAAAAAUUAGAGUGUUUAAAGCAGGCUCACGCUUGAAUACAUUAGCAUGGAAUAAUGAAAUAGGACGUUGAUCUUAUUUUGUUGGUUUCUAGGAUUGACGUAAUGAUUAAUAGGGAUAGUUGGG